This 254-nucleotide ribosomal RNA is filed under the name uncultured bacterium. RNAcentral describes it as "partial 16S ribosomal RNA". It matches the Rfam family "Bacterial small subunit ribosomal RNA", at positions 524 to 776 of the family's 1533-position model. The record is from RNAcentral.
GACGAGCCACACAAACGUUAUUCGGAAUUACUGGGCUUAAAGGGUGCGUAGGCUGCGCGGAAAGUGGGGUGUGAAAGCCCUCGGCUCAACCGAGGAAUUGCGCUCCAUACUACCGUGCUCGAGGAAGAUAGAGGUUAGCGGAACUUCGGGUGGAGCGGUGAAAUGCGUAGAUAUCUGGAGGAACACCGGUGGCGAAGGCGGCAUCCUGGACCAACACUGACGCUGAGUGAGCGAAAGCCAGGGGAGCAAACGGG